This 64-nucleotide transfer RNA is filed under the name Amyrsidea minuta. Its description in RNAcentral is "tRNA-Glu". The record is from RNAcentral. Lineage: Eukaryota; Metazoa; Arthropoda; Insecta; Psocodea; Menoponidae.
CUUAACAUAGUUUAAACUAAAACAUUAUCCUUUCAAGGUAAAAUUUCUAUAUUUGAUGUUAAGA